GACAGAGGGUGCAAACGUUGUCCGGAAUUACUGGGCGUAAAGCGCGUGUAGGCGGCCCUGCAAGUCGGGUGUGAAAUCCCACGGCUCAACCGUGGAAGUGCACUCGAAACUGCAGGGCUAGAGUCCUGGAGAGGAAGGUGGAAUGCUUGGUGUAGAGGUGAAAUGCGCAGAUAUCAGGAAGAACACCCGUGGCGAAGGCGGCUCUCUGGGACGGUACUGACGCUGAGACGCGAAAGCGUGGGGAGCGAACAGG
RNAcentral lists this ribosomal RNA (253 nucleotides) under uncultured bacterium. RNAcentral describes it as "partial 16S ribosomal RNA". It matches the Rfam family "Bacterial small subunit ribosomal RNA", at positions 524 to 776 of the family's 1533-position model. The record is from RNAcentral.